This is a non-coding RNA of Monodelphis domestica (gray short-tailed opossum), 10010 nucleotides long. The record is from RefSeq and is a predicted model, not a curated record. NCBI's taxonomy places the organism in Eukaryota, Metazoa, Chordata, Mammalia, Didelphimorphia, Didelphidae.
UACUUGCUCUGGUGAGAGAAAAAUUCUCUAGGACCCAGGUCCAAUCUUCUGUGAAUAGAAAAUUGUUCCAGAAAGAUAUUUUACAAGAUCCCGAAGACCAUUGAAGAUCCUGACUCUGCUGUUAUCCUGAGAAGACCAAAUUUCAAAGGGGGUUGACUUAACUGCUCAGUUUGCCUUACUAGGGGCAUUAGCUUCACCUGGGGUAGACUUAAUCACUCCUGAUACCUGACUUCUAUCUAUAAUUUAGAGACUUAUUCCUCUGCGGGUUUUAGCCUAGAGAUAGAUUAGAAUUGAAGGAGAUCACUUAAGCAGAGAGUGUAUUCAGUGUAGUCUUGGCCCUGGCUGAGGACAGAAGAGACUUUAAAGCAAAAUCAGACUGAUGGGUAUAAAUUAGAUUUAUUAGCCAUAGGGAAACCUUUCAAACCAUGUUCCUAACCCCAUCUCCAAUUUACAACUUUACAAUAAACCUUGUUACUUUAGAAAGCAGUCAGAUUGGAUGCAUACUGACCCUAGGCAGAGAGUAGCCAUUUUUGCUCUCUACCACUAAAGAGAAUGUUUGCCCAACUGGGUCAAGCAAAAUUCCCAGUCACUCAUCUUAAAUCACUCUUACACCUCAAGAUAUGAAAUUUGUAGAUGUUCUCCAAGGCAUUGUUCUGGAUAUUUUUCUUUUCUGUCUCCACAUUUUCCUUGUUAACAUCAUUCAUUUCUCUUGAUUCCAUUAUUAUAUCUUUGCAGGUGACUAUUAGAUUAAUAUAUCCAACCCUAAUUUCUCUCCUAAACUCCAGUCAUACAUUAUCAAAUGCCUAUUGUAUAUUUCUAAAUAUAUGUCCCAAAGGAACUCAGUGCAUCCAAACUAGAACUCUUUCUCUUUCCCAUCCCUAAAAAUAUAUAUUCUAAGCUCCCCCUCUAAAUUCUACUCAGUUGGAUUCCCAAAUUUGGCAUCUUCUUUAACUCUUCUCUUUCCCUUAUCUGUAAUAUCAAAUAAACUCCCCAACUUGUAGGAUCUAUUUCCACAAUCUUUCUCGUAUUUGUCCCUUCCUCUCCAUUAACACAGCCACCACUCUAGAUCAGACUUUUAUUACCUCCAGUUGACUAUUGCAGUAACCUUCUAUCCAAAGGCUUGGCUUUUAAUCUCCUUUCUUUCCAAUUCGUCUUCUAUACAGCUGCCAAAAUAAUCCUUCUAAUUGAUAAAUAUGAUUGUGGCAUUCUCUUACCUAAAAACUAUCAGUAACUCCCUACUUUCUUUAGCAUAAUUCCUGAUUUUAGCAAUGAAAGCCCUUCACAGUCUGGAUUUAGCUUACAUUUCUGGUUUUAUUAUUCACUCACAGUUAUAUACUUGAUAUUCUAACCAAACUGGCCUACUUGUUCUUUGUAGAAUUUGGCAUUCAAACCCCCACUUGCAAAAUUUUGCAUAAUCUAUCUUCUUCAAGCCUAGAAUCCAUUUUCCCCCAGGAUCCUAAAACCCUUAACUUCCUUUAAGCCUCAGUGUAUGUGCAACACUUUGGGGAAAUCUUUAAUGCUCUCUCAAUUUAAUAGUACCUUCCCCUCCUCAAAUGAUCAUGCAUGUAUUAAUCACUUUUAAAUAUUGCAUAUCCUCCAGUAGAAUACAAGCUCCUUGAGAUCAGGGAAUCAUUUUUAUUUUGUCUUUGUAUUCCUAACAUUUAGCAUAAUACUUUGCACAUUGUAAGUGUUUAAUAAAUACUUUUAGAAUUUAUUGGACUAAAAGGUAUCACAUGAUCCAGAGAGGCAUGCUACCUGCUCACACCUAAACUAGUCAUCUGGGGUCUCUCCACACUCAUCCUCAACACACACCUGAUAGUAUCUCCCUUAAUUCCUCACCCAGAUGCAGAUCUCUAAUUACAGUUCUAUCUUCAAGUUGUUGAAAGGCUGUCAUGAAAAUAUAAGGACCUUCUGCUUAUUCUUAGACAGCAAAACCAAAAACAAUGAAGUUCCAAAGGAGAGGGGCAAUUGAAUAGAGAAAGGUUUAAAUAAUGUCAGAAAGAAUUUCUUAACAAUUAGAGUGUAUAGUGUAGUGAUGGUGAACCUUUUAGAGAUUGAAUGCUCAAAUUACAACCCUCAUGGUACUUGAGACCUGAACCUUACCCCAAACUGGAGGGGGAUGAAACACUCCCAUUGGGCUGUUGGGCAGAGGGGCAGAUGAUGUGAGAAAUGUCCUCAGGUACAUGUGGAGAGGGAGAAGGGAGAAGCCCCCUUUUGCACACUGUAGCACACAUGCCAAAUGUUUAUCAAUAUGGGUAUAGGGUUUCCUUUGAGAACUAGUGGGCCCUUCUUUACUAAAAGAUUUCAUUAGGUAUGCUGUAAUUAAUUACUGUUCUUGUUCUAAACUAAUGUAUGAAAUUAAUUGACUUCUGAAGUCCAUUCCACCUCUAAAACUGACUCUCAGGCCAGAGUAGAUGUUAAUAUAAAAUGAUCUCUUCUCAACAAAGGAAACACGUCCUGUUAUCAGUAUGUCUAUUGAAUGAACAUUUAUGUUCGUGAAUGAACACAUCUGAAAAUAAACCUUGCCAUGGACAUUAAGGACACCCAUUUGAAAUUGACUUUUUAGUAUACAUGUAAAAUUUCCACAUAUUUUGGUAGCAACAGGAGAAGAAAGAGUACAUAGAGGUAGAAAAUUAUGUUAGGAAUUCUAGGUGAAUCUGGAAAGAAAGGUAAAUUCCAAGGGAAAAAGAGAGGAAUAAUACAUUUUAAAAAGUGGGACUUAAAACGUGUGGCAGAAUCAUAGUUUUAAAUACAUGGAUGUAUUCAAAGGAUGGUUAAAUCAGUAUAGAGAGGAAAAGAGAGGAGAUCCUCCACCUUCUCAAAGCAAGAUUCAGGGGAGACAGCUGAUGUUUAGGGUUGGCUCAGAGAGAGGAAAGGGGUUUUUUUAAAAGAUUUUCCUCUUUCUGCCUUCUCUCCUAAGCUAAGGCUGCUCUCCCAGAUUUACUCUUGUUCCUCUUGUCCCCCCUCCACUACUUAACACCAAAGGGUCUCCCCUUGAUCUGUUCACUCACACUUGUUCCCUGGCGCUCCACCCACAUCAAGGUGAUCAGUUACACACACACUUUAUUCUGGCACUUUUCUUAUGUGUCAGCCUCUGUCACAUGGAUAUAUUUAUGUUCUCAGUCCCAAGUAAGUACUGAUACCAUCAAAGAAUAGAAAAGAAGUCAUCUCAAUUCUUCAAAUGUUCUGAGAAAAAAAUUUGUUUUUCUUUUCAGAGGAACCUCUAAACUCACUCUUUUGCCCAUGAAGUCCAGUGAGGUAAAAAUCUACCCAGUGAACUGUUAACCAGUUGAAGAGUGAGAGCUUCAUGCAAGUAUCUGAUUUGAAAGCAUCUUCUUUCUAUUGCUGUCAUCUUGUCCAUUUGGAAAUCUUCAGAGGCCUUUCUGGGAUAUGCCAGCAUUUAAAAUCUGUUUUCGAAGGUCAGGUGGAUAUCUGCUAAAAUUUCUUAGAAUAUAAAUCUUAAAGCAAUUUAGUACAGGCACUCUAAUUUGCUUUUCUAGUGACUAGCUUAGGUCUUACAAUCUAGUAGCUCGUAUGUGUUCCAGUCUUAGACUAUGGGGGUCAAAAUAUAUCACUGAUCAACUUUUAUGAUCACAAAAAGUUGCUACAAAAGGACAAUUAGGAACAUGACUAUAGGAGAAAGGACUAGAAGGGGGAAGAUAAUCAUUUAUUCAACUCCAGGCAAGAAUUAGAAAGAGAGCCAAAUAGAGUCACAACAAUUUCAUAGCAUGGUUUGGAAACAGCUAGAUAGUAAUAUUUUCCAUUCAAAAGGAAAUAUAAUUCUAGGGAAAUGAAGGCAGGGGAAACCCACUUCUGCUCAUGCAAGGAAUUGCUCCCUCAUCUUCUCCAUUAAGACAAACCUUCACUUGCAGUUCACAGGUGGCAUCUCCAUGCUGGCACUAGGAAUCCUUGCCUUAAUAUCAGGCACUGAUGAUCAUACCUGGAAUUUGACUCAGAAUAAAAUUAUGAUUUCAUAAAGUUUAACCAUAAGUAACAAAUUCAAAUAAUUAUAGGUUUGAGUCAACUCUGUUACCAGGGCUGACAAAUAUUAUAGCCUGACCCCUUAGAUUAGUAUUUAAAGAUGAAUGUAAAAUUGUUCAAACCAAGAAGGUGGAUUUAAUUCAAGCCCCAAAUUAAAAUUUGAUUCCAAUUCAGAAUUUCAAAAUUUCUUUUUUUUUCAAUCAAUUCUUCUUUCUCCAUUUCAGGGAGUAGAGAUCGAUAAUAUCAAAUUAUCAGGUAAAACCAUAAGAGAGUACAUAUUUUACUUCCGUUGUACAAAUGUAUGGUCCAUAGUAAAAUAUCAAUACGGAACAUAUUCCAUAAUCAGGAAUUCAUCACAAACAUGACAGAAUAAAUUGCCUUGGCUAGUGCACUUUGCCCUAAAAGUAAGAAAUAGGGACACGAUUUUCAUAGAAUCAAUACUGGGAUGUUAGUCCUAAAGCUAAGGAGACAGAACAACUCAACAAAUAUAUGACAGGACAAAGCAUCAUUAGCUUUGUUUGACAUAAUAUCAACAGUCAAUAACAAUUUCCAAGUUACAUGGGGGAUUCCUCUCCUUGAUUUGCUUCUGGGUUGCAAGAGAUUAAAAUGUAAAAUAUUGAAUUUUUAAAAGAUAAUUUAGAAUAUUCCCUCACUGAAGCAGGAGUAUAUUAUCAUACAACAUCCAGUCAAAAAUCACUAUGUGGAGCUCAUCUUUUAUGUUUCUUACAAAAUAAUCAUAUACUUGUCCUUAUUAAUGGAAUUUACUUAGUGAGAAAGAAAGAAAGGGGCAUGACACCAUCAAUAGUAUUCUUCAGUGGAGCUCAAGUCAAAGUGUGAAGAUUAAAUGCAACACUCCCCUGAUUAUAACAAUGAAAAUACUUAACUCUCCCCUGAUUGUGAAGAUUAAAUUGUAAACCCUUUCUAUUUUUAGAACAUGGUACUUAAAAGUUAAGUAUGAAGAUCUGCUCAUUUAGACCUAAUGACCAAAAGUGCAAAUAUCUCACUUAAUCAUGAAGUGGGAGGUCUGUGAUCUACCUGUGUGAUAGUGGAUGAUGAAUCAAAAUUGACUGACUGCCUUCUGGGCAGUCCUAAAACAAAGCAUCAACUGUGAUUGGUAGGUAUAAAAUUAGGGGAAGACACGGGAAAUGAUGCAAAAGAAGCAUCUUGAAAAGGAUCUAUUACUUCCUGUGAGAAUUCAAUUCUUCAUGCUUUCGAGUUGAGGUUGGUGAAGAGGGGAAGAAGUAUGUGGUGACUGGCCUGACAUAUGGUGAGUGAAAAAGCUGACUCUUAACUGCAUGUUUUUUUCUAAAGAGUCUGGCCUCAGGAAAGACCUAUUGCCCUUGAGAAACUUCCUGAGUCCUUAGCUUUGCUGAGGCUGGAUGAAACCAAUUCUCCCUGCCUGAAGGGACUGGGAGUAAAUUACUAAAUGCUCAGGCUAGAUAUCUUACCUUAUCUUUUCUCUGAUUUCUUACUUUACUCUUUCUACAUUUUGUAAAUAAAUUGUAAAAAAAUCUCUUUGGAAUUAAUUAAAUUCCUGGUGACCACACUCUUUAAAUAUAAAAUCCAACCCUUAAAAAAAAAAAAAACACCUUUUCCUCCUUAAACAGGUAUGGGUCAGAGUCAGUAGUUAAUCAUAUUGAAGGGCUCAUUAUGAACUACAAAGUUUCAAAGCCUGGUCUAGAUGCACUUAUGUGGGAAAAAGUCUUUGUUUACCAGGUUAAGGGAACUAAGUCAAGAGAAUCUUAGCUUUGCCUUCUUAACAUCUCUCUUGACAGUCCCAGAGAUAAGCACCCACCUAUAGAAGUCUUCCAACUGCAUGUGGCCUUCCCCUUGAAUGUUAGACAAAUGGCCUCCUGAGAUCAAAUAUUCAUACAUAGCAUCAAAACUUUAAAUUGUAGUAGACUAAAGUCUUCAAAGACUUUUCCUAAAACAGUAAAAAUCCACUUAAAUAUAAAAUCAUUUCAUAGAGAGAAAUGUAAAAAAUAUCAAAUUUAUCUGGUAGAAACAAACUCCACUAGUAAUUACAAAAGCAUAUAUAUUUCCUAUGAACUGAUAGACUGGUGGCCUUAUGAGAGGUAAAAACAAACACACACACACACACACAUAACCACACACACACACAACCACACACACAGCUUAGAUGAUUUUCUUUGUCUGGGAGAGACUGUAGUUCAUUAAAUUGAAGUGCUGGAGUUUAAGAUUUCACAGAACCCUGCUAAAUCUGGAAGUCCCAAGGAACCUCAUAAACCUUCCAAGAGACUUUUGUUGUUUCCCUACACAGUAAAUUAUUAUGAUAAUAUUAAUAUUAUUCUGUUUUAAAGGAAAAUCUAGUUCAUUAAAUACUUAACAAACAGCAAUCCUUUUUAUCAUAAAAGGUUAAUCUAUAAUCUGCUUAGCAGCAUGGUAAAAAGGGGAAGUUACUAUAGCAGUCCUCAAAUAUUAAAUUUUCUAGAAAGUUUAGAACAUAAUUCAGUCUUAUAUAUUUAAUAUAGAAUAAGUGCUUUAUUCAUCAUUCAAAAUUAAAUAAAAAUAAGGUUAAAGUUUAACAUAUAUAGUACAUAAUAUACAUACAUAUUGUAUCUAUCAUAUUCUACAUUUUUAUGAAUAUUUUAUCUGAUUAUUAAUGCUCAAUUUAAAAAAUUUCAGAGCCCUAGGUAAUGGAGUCAAUAACAAUUAAAAAAUUGUUUUUUCCAUCACACUCUUCUAACUGUCACCAACUGCCAAGCGGCAUAGCAGGGGGUCACCAACUGACAACCUGCACAGCAAGGGGUUUCUUACACAGAAAUCCUAUUUCUCCCUUUCCUCUGAAAAAUAAAAAAGGAGAAAUUAAUAAAAACUCUCUUAAAACAGGCAUUGUGAUAAGCACUUUACAAUUAUAUAGUCAUCUCAAUAACCCUGGGAGGUAGGAACUAGUAUCAUUGUUUCCUAUAAAAAGUAAUUUGAAUAAAGUUCUGUUGUAUCAGUUUCCCUAAUCAGGAAAAAUAUAUCAUUGUAAAUGAGAUUACCUUAUAGAUUUUAGUCUUAAAGUUUCAACCAACUCAAUUAUUGAUUUAUGAAUUGCAAUGAUAAUAUUUAAACCUAAAUUUUCUAAAAGUAUACUGUUCUUUUAGUUCACAUUGGAAAAAAAAAAUCACAGUAGUAGUCUUAGAUCUUCACAACUAUUUAUUUAUGAGCAUUUUUAAAAAUCACCCAAAAAGUCAAAUUACUUCCCUUUAUUUCUCCUUCUUAAAAUAACCAGUAUGCUUCAAGAGUUCAGAUAAAGUGCACAUCUCUCUCUACACUGAAGCUUUGCAUAUGUAUCCCAUGCAGGGAAAGCCACUAAGGCUUUUAGAAUAGCUAUUUAAAGAAACACUAUCCUUUCCAACAAUCAAAUAGGGAAUAAUAUAAAAAUCAAAAGUAUCAAUAAAAUUUUAUACAAUUUAUUUUGUCAUCUUAUAUUUGUUUAGAGAGGAAAACACCUAACAAUUGUCAAAGAGCCAUUUAUCUAAAAACUCCUGGAAUUCUGCGAUAACAUUGUUGCAAUUUAGAUGCAGGACUCUUCCUCUCCUCAUCACCUACCAAUACAUACUACCUCAAAAGGCCAAAAAAUACCCCAAAUUCAGAUGAAUAAAUGGUCUCCACAGUAGAUCUCAACACUGAAGAGAGCCUGCCCUCCUCACUCAGACUCCUGACUGGAAAAGGAAGGAAAAACCAGCUUAGCAAAGGCAACCAAUGCCCAGAAAAUACAAUUUCUAACCACCAAGAAGAACAAGAAAAAUGCUUUGACCCUGGAUAAAUUCUAUGGAGAAAAAAUUCAGACUACAGAGGAAAUAGCAGAGGAAAAUGAUCAAUUAAAUGCAUCUAAACCUUCCAAAAAAAUGGAAAUUCGCCAUAAACUCUUGAAGAAUUUAAAUCUGGGAUUUUGAGAAAAAUGGACUUUUCGCAAGGAAAAAUUGGAAAUAGUUAAAAAAGAAAAUAACAGUCAGAUAAGAACUCCCAAUUGGAGAAAGAAUCCCAGAAAUCAAAUGAAAUGAUGAAUAAAUUGAAGAAAACAAUUAAAUAGCUGGAAGCCAUGAAAAGCAGGAUAGACCAAGCCAGAAAAAAAAUAAAAAAAAUAUAGCAGAAAACCAAAAUUUUAUAAUGGAAAACCAGUCUUUAAAGACCAGAAUGGGGCAGUUGGAAGCCAAAGAUCUCACAAAACAGCAAGAAUUGAUAAAGCAAAGUCAAAAGACUGACAAAAUAGAAGGAAAAAUGGAAUAUCUCAUUGAGAAGAUGACUGAUCAUGAAAACUGAUCUAGACGAGACAAUUUGAGAAUCAUUGGUCUAACUCAAAACCCAAAAAUAAACAGAAAUCUUGACAUCAUACUACAAGAAAUGAUCCAAGCAAACUGCCCUGAUAUUCUUGAACAAGAGGGCAAAAUAGACAUUAAAAGAGUUUUUAGAACACCCUCUGCAGUAAAUCCUCAAAAGACAACCCCAAGGAAUGUAAUUGCCAAAUUCAAGAGCUUCCAGGCUAAUGAGAAAAUUUUACAAGAAGCCAGAAAGAGACAAUUCAGAUAUCAAAGAACAUCAAUCAGAAUUACACAAGAUCGGGAAGCUUCCACAUGAAAGGACAGCUUCCACAUGAAAGGCUUGGAAUAUGAUAUUCAGUAAGGCAAGAGAAUUGGGUUUUCAACCAAGGAUCGCAUCCCCAUCAAAACUGAUUAUAUGCUUCCAGGGAAAAGUAUGGGCAUUCAACAAAAUAGAAGAUUUCCAAGUAUUUGUAAAGAAAAUUCCAGAACUAAGUGGAAAAUUUGAUAUCCAAACACAAAAAUCAAGAGAAACAUGAAAAAGUAAAUAACAAAGAGAGGGGAAAGAAAAAAAAAUAUUUUUAUUUAAAUUUUCUCCUUUAAGGGCUUCAGUAAGAUCAAAUUGUUUAUAUUAAUAUAUGGGGAAAUGUUAUUUGUAACUCUCAAAAUUAUAUUCACUAUUAUAUAAUAUUUAGAAAAAUCAUUAAUAGGUCGAAAUUGGGGUAAUAAGUGGUCUAAGAUGAUAUGUUAAAAAAAAGAAGAAGAAAAAGGAGGGAAGGGAAUAGAAGAUGGCACCAAGAGAAAAUUGAAAGAAUAAAAUAAAUAGGACAAUCUAUACAACACAAAGAGGCACAUGGAGAGGGGAGGGGAAAAAUGUUAUUAUAAGAAGGAGAGGAAGGGAGUGCUAUCUGCACAGAUACAGCCGGUUCAAGUAAGCCUACAUUGGAAGAAGAUGUGGCCCAAAGAGACUCUGGUAUAUCUGCAGGUAUUACAAAGGUGGGAUGCUCUUUCCCCUCCUAACUCUCUGAGAGAAGUACAGGGAGUAAUUUUAAAGAUUCCUCGGGUACUUCCAAUGAUAAGGAACCAUCUGGGCAGCAAGUUAUUGUAGCUCUGAGUUUGCAUAGAAGGUCCCUCCCCAUCAAAUUUAAACAUCAAGUCAGGCAUCAAAAGGAAAGAAUGUUGUACUUCUAGGGGUCCUACAAACACCAUUCUAUGAGAAAGCUUUUUAACUCUUUGGGAUAUCCCUGACACUCCCAUUACAUUCUCUGAGCCAAUGGAAUAGCAAUGUAAAUCAGGUGUACUCUUUAAUACAGACCUGGAAGCUCCAGUGUCCAAAAGGCAGUCAUAAUAGGUAUUACCCACCUUUAAGGUAACAUGGGGCUCAUCAGUAUAGGGGCGACAGUGGAUAAGGACAAUGGGUAGUAGGACAUCAGGGUCCAGAAAAUCAAAGGUUGUUUCCUCUGAUUGCUGUGCCCCAGUGCCCCCUGGAAACCUUCAUAGUAUUUGGGAAAUUCCUUGGGCAGUCCGCUGAGGGGCACCCCCUUGAGGGGCAUCAGCACCUCGAGUAUUUUUUGGACGAGCAUCACUUAGGUUAUAUUGUUGUGGAGUCAUUUGGUUUGAGUUAUCAUCUUCCCAAUAUCUAUUCCUAUACUUAUCAUUCCUAAAGUUGUGGUUUCCAUUAUGAUUAUUAUAGUUAUUUCUUUAAUUAUAAUUUCUGUAGUUGUUAUUAAACUGCAUAUUCCUUCUGAUUGCCUUGAAUAA